AAGGAAUAUUGGUCAAUGGACGCAAGUCUGAACCAGCCAUGCAGCGUGAAGGAUGAAGGUCCUCUGGAUUGUAAACUUCUUUUAUCUGGGACGAAAACGGGAUUUUUGUCUCAAUUGACGGUACCAGAGGAAUAAGCACCGGCUAACUCCGUGCCAGCAGCCGCGGUAAUACGGAGGGUGCGAGCGUUAUCCGGAUUUACUGGGUUAAAGGGUGCGUAGGUGGGUAUGUAAGUCAGUGGUGAAAUCCCCGAGCUUAACUUGGGAACUGCCGUUGAUACUAUAUAUCUUGAAUAUCGUAGAGGUAAGCGGAAUAUGUCAUGUAGCGGUGAAAUGCUUAGAGAUGACAUAGAACAACAAUUGCGAAGGCAGCCUACUAUGCGAUUAUUGACACUGAGGCACGAAAGCGUGG
RNAcentral lists this ribosomal RNA (409 nucleotides) under uncultured bacterium. RNAcentral's name for it is "bacterial SSU rRNA". It matches the Rfam family "Bacterial small subunit ribosomal RNA", at positions 356 to 764 of the family's 1533-position model. The record is from RNAcentral.